RNAcentral lists this ribosomal RNA (429 nucleotides) under Chloroflexota bacterium. RNAcentral describes it as "Chloroflexi bacterium partial 16S ribosomal RNA". It matches the Rfam family "Bacterial small subunit ribosomal RNA", at positions 355 to 776 of the family's 1533-position model. Lineage: Bacteria; Bacillati; Chloroflexota. The record is from RNAcentral.
UGGGGAAUAUUGCACAAUGGGCGCAAGCCUGAUGCAGCCAUGCCGCGUGUAUGAAGAAGGCCUUCGGGUUGUAAAGUACUUUCAGUCGGGAGGAAGGUGUCAAGGUUAAUAACCUUGGCAAUUGACGUUACCGACAGAAGAAGCACCGGCUAACUCCGUGCCAGCAGCCGCGGUAAUACGGAGGUUGCAAGCGUUAAUCGGAAUUACUGGGCGUAAAGCGCACGCAGGCGGUUGAUUGAGUCAGAUGUGAAAUCCCCGGGCUCAACCUGGGAACUGCAUCUGAUACUGGCAAGCUUGAGUCUCGUAGAGGGGGGUAGAAUUCCAGGUGUAGCGGUGAAAUGCGUAGAGAUCUGGAGGAAUACCGGUGGCGAAGGCGGCCCCCUGGACGAAGACUGACGCUCAGGUGCGAAAGCGUGGGGAGCAAACAGG